GUGCUCACUUCAGCGGCACAUACACUAAAAUUGGAAAGAUUUUAGUGUGGCCCCUGUGCAAGGAUGACAAACAAAUAUGUGAAGCAUUCCAUACUUUA
Small nuclear RNA from Vulpes vulpes (red fox), 98 nucleotides. The record is from Ensembl. Lineage: Eukaryota; Metazoa; Chordata; Mammalia; Carnivora; Canidae.